RNAcentral lists this ribosomal RNA (497 nucleotides) under Anaplasma phagocytophilum. RNAcentral describes it as "bacterial SSU rRNA". It matches the Rfam family "Bacterial small subunit ribosomal RNA", at positions 81 to 613 of the family's 1533-position model. Lineage: Bacteria; Pseudomonadati; Pseudomonadota; Alphaproteobacteria; Rickettsiales; Anaplasmataceae. The record is from RNAcentral.
AUAAGGAAUAAUUAGUGGCAGACGGGUGAGUAAUGCAUAGGAAUCUACCUAGUAGUAUGGGAUAGCCACUAGAAAUGGUGGGUAAUACUGUAUAAUCCCUGCGGGGGAAAGAUUUAUCGCUAUUAGAUGAGCCUAUGUUAGAUUAGCUAGUUGGUAGGGUAAAGGCCUACCAAGGCGAUGAUCUAUAGCUGGUCUGAGAGGAUGAUCAGCCACACUGGAACUGAGAUACGGUCCAGACUCCUACGGGAGGCAGCAGUGGGGAAUAUUGGACAAUGGGCGCAAGCCUGAUCCAGCUAUGCCGCGUGAGUGAGGAAGGCCUUAGGGUUGUAAAACUCUUUCAGUAGGGAAGAUAAUGACGGUACCUACAGAAGAAGUCCCGGCAAACUCCGUGCCAGCAGCCGCGGUAAUACGGAGGGGGCAAGCGUUGUUCGGAAUUAUUGGGCGUAAAGGGCAUGUAGGCGGUUCGGUAAGUUAAAGGUGAAAUGCCAGGGCUUAAC